AUGCUCUGCUAUUGCGUAACUUUCCGGGGUUGGUCGUCACAAGCCGUGUUCAAGCCAAGGCCACUGCCAUUUAUUAUUGGGACACAAAUGAUGUUUGAAUUCAAAGAUCAAGGGUGCAUGUCCUCUCCUUUUUUAAACCCAAUGUUCAGCUUGUUAGAAUCUCUUUUGUGCUUGCAAAUCCAAUGCUGUGAUUUACCACAUAUCUGUUCAGUCAGAAUCAGAUAUUCCUCUUCCCUGGCAAUACCCCGUGAUCACGCAGAGGGCAACAUGCCCAAUCCAGUGCACCGUUUACCUCAGCCACCCCCAAGACAUCAGCAGCCUGCAUGUUUGAAUUCAUCCAGCCGGCCCCCUCUACCUGCAGAUCCCCACUCCAUCCCAUCAUUUCCAGGGUGUCACGGUGUGGACAUCCCCUCUCCAUGAGAUUGAAGGCAUUAUAUUAUCAUGAAUCGUAUGGAGCUGCUUUUGUUUUUAGUUUUUGGCUUUGCUUACAGUUGGUUUAACAACUGAUUGUUCCUCUGUUGGCUGUUUUUCCCAUGAAGAAUUGUUUUAGGAAAUUUCAUAAACUUUAUUUAACGUAAUGAACGUAAUUAAAUCGUUUUGGGGAUUGAGUGAUAUAAUGUACCUCCAAGAUAUCAUUUGGCUUUUUCUUUUAAGUAUUAUACUUAUUUAUUUACAUUUCCAACCCAUGUUAAGAUUUUGAAUCUUGUAAUGUACACUAAUGUAGAUUGAAUCUUGUAAUGUACACUUGAAGUAUUUGUGUACAUGUUUUGGUCAAUUUGUUAUAUUUUUUAUACUCUUUUCCCAUGAACAGUGAAGUAUUGCAGUUUGGCUGAACAAAGUACCACUGAUGCAUGAUCAAUGUGUCUUCUUCAAACAAUAAAAUUCUGUUCAUAUUCUGAAAUGCAUGAGCUUACUUUAUUUUGGUUUUACUACGGUUUCAAUCAUUAGAAUUGCAAGAAUUACUGAUAAUAUUGCUUCAUAGAUUCAAACCAUUGUAUUAUAUCGGACUAGGAAAACUAGGUCAGUAUUAUUGUAAACUGUCUAGGGAUAGCAUAUAUAGCUGUGUCACAUAUUUCAGUUGCUGUAUAUCCUACUAUAAAGAUUGUGCCACUGUGGAUGUUGGGGUUGUGAUAGAAAAUAAUGAAGGUUAAAAAGGAUAUUUGCCAAAUGUAAGAAAAAAUAGUGGAGAGGAAUGUGCCAGCAGGGGGAAGAGGGGGGGGGGGGGACCCCUAGAACAGGGGGACCCUGUUCUACUGCUAUUCACCACCGGGGGUCCGGAGUGGACCGGCAAACGGAGACGACUCAGAUAAGACAUCCCUUUGUGGUCAAUGAUCCGUCCAUUUCUCAGUUCACUUAGAGAAUAAGUAUAAGUAAGGUUGACUUUACGUAUGAAUUAUACAAGAAUAUAAGGUCAAUAUAUUUACAAUGGAGCCAAAUGUUAAACACUUGAUAGUAGCUUU
This 1460-nucleotide long non-coding RNA is filed under the name Gadus morhua (Atlantic cod). Its description in RNAcentral is "lncRNA (ENSGMOG00000030736.1)". Lineage: Eukaryota; Metazoa; Chordata; Actinopteri; Gadiformes; Gadidae. The record is from RNAcentral.